CAUGGUUAUAUUUGGGUGGGUGAAGAUUAAUAUUAAUCAACAUUUAUAAUUUAUAAUUGACAUGUUUUUCAAGAAAAACAAAGGAGAGAUUAAGCUUCUUCAUCAAUUUCUUCAUACAGAUCAUCAAUUGACAUUGAAUUUGAAGUAAUAUUUAUGUGUAUGCUACUGGAAUGCCAAAGAUGUACAUAUAUCGUAGUUGAAUAUCCAAAUAUCCUUGAGAACUAUUUUAACAUUAUGUUUAUAUAGCCUGCAGAUGAAUUUCACUAGAUUUCAUUUGGAUAUUUGAGAAUUGGCCAUGAAAAAUUAUUUGACUAUUAUAUUAUGUUAAUAUUUUUCACUUUUCUUUUUAAAUAAAAAUAUCUAAAUCCAUCUUCAAUUAGAUGAAAAACUAUUCAAGCAUAUGAAUUCCAUCAAUUUUAAUUAAAUCAAAUUCAUAGUUUUAAAAUUCAUAAUAAAUUAAUUGUGGUGAUUGGUAGAAUUUGGCUCAAGUAUAAACAAUUCCAUAGCAUAGAGAUCAUAAAAUGCAAAUAAAUUUUUUUAUGUAUACCAAACAUAUAACAAGAGUGGAUUUGUGAAUGAUUCCACAAAAUUUUACACAGUUCAUCCAUAUCAAAUUAGAAGCUCUAAGCUUGAGUGCUUAAAUUCAUGAUCAGUUAAUCUUCCAUUAACAUUUGGCAUUGCAUUUAAGCCAAAACACAGACAGCAUUCGACAUAUAUGUCUUCGAGGGACCUGGCCGUUUCUGAGCCUAUCAUUCAUCAACACUAAAGGGACUCUUAAUUGCUCAAAUGAUAGCUAGCUGGGGAAAGAAAUAUCUUGCAACAUUGGAUAAAAAAACUAUGGACAACUGAAAGGGAAAUAGCAGAAGGAAGCAAUCAAGCAAUAAUAUUGCCGGUUCCAUGUGGUGGGGAAAAUGGAUCAGUCACGUCGCUUUUGAGAUGAAAUAUGAAUAUAAUAUGUAUAAUUUGUUCAUAGACACAAACUGAAAGGCUUGUGCUCUUUUAUAUGAUUUGAGAGUACACACCAAUGAUAAAUGGCAACUUAGUUGAUCCUCAAAGGAAUGUAAUAUCUGUACAAACAGAAACAACAAUAUCAACAUUCAUCAUAUGCGUUUUUACAGCUUUUCAUGUUCAUAUGCUGGCCAAUAGUUUCCGUUGUUUAUAAUUCAAACUGGGUAUAAAAAUUUAUUUUCAUGACAAUAAAAGCUAGCUAGACGAUCAAUUGCCUGUUUGAAAACCUCUGUAUUAAUCCGUACAUUAAAUUAAACAAAGGAAAAGGCAAUUGAGGCAUUAGAACACUUGUCUUCGUACAAAUUCUAUCCUUACCAGCUUCAUCCCAUUUGGUAAAAAACUAUCUUUCUUGCCUUUACUCAUAAUGAGUCUGCAACAUGCAUAAAAUAUAGCUGGAACUAAGCUGUUGGGCACGUGUGUGAGCAUGAGCUUAACAUGAAAAUAAUACUUAAAAAAAAAAGAGAAUUUAGUAAAUGCAAUGCAUGAGAUGCAAAAGCCUCUUGAUGAUCAACUGGCUUUGCCUCACAUAAUAAUUUAUAAAACGAGAAAAAUCAGUGUCAACUUUAUACCUUUGAUCUUCUCUCUAAGCAAAAGUGAUAAUUAAAGCUGAUCAAGACUAUAAAAUAAUUAACAUGAUUGCCAGAUUAGAUCAAAUAAUUUUAAUCAAUAAGACAAAGUUACAGCACUAACCCAAUACCAAAGAGAAGUAAAAUAUAAUAUAUAUUUACAUAUCUAGGAUCAUUUUUUAUCCAUGCUUUUUUUGUCCAUCACUGUUUUCAUGAUCACAAAGCACAAGAAAAUCUAAGCUUUUUCCAACCCUAAUAUCUUUCUCCUUUAAAGGAAACCCAUAUAAAUAAUUAAAUCAGACAAACUGAUUACUGAUCCCAACCUUUUGACUUGGAUGAACGGUAGCAAAUAAAUCAGCCUCAUAUUAAUCUAAAAUUAAACAUAAACACCUUUCUGAUCCCACAUUGGUUUCCUUUAAUAGCGCAAGAUUAGUGGAAUUAAUAAGCAUGACUCUCUAAAGUGAAGGCAACCAUGUUAAACAACUAAAGCAGAAUCCUAAAGAAGAACAAAGGAUCGGCUAUUAGGAUACCUGUGUUCGAUUAGUUGGCAACAUAAAUAAAUGGAAUUGACUAGUAGAUAACAGAAGUGCAAAUGCAAUUAUAGUAUCUGUUUAAAAGAACAGAAGAGGUGACCUAUUAAUGGGGAUGGAUUCAGGAGUCAAGACCCUCGUGAGUGUCUCAAAAUCCGGCUAAUAGUUUCAUCAAAAAGCACCAAGGUAAUUAUUAUUCUUGCACUGUUUGAUGAACAAACAAUUUCAUCAGAGAUCAGUCUUUAAAAUGUGUUAUAAAUUAGGCACACGCUUGCAAUUUUCUGCAUAGAUAUAAUGAAGGGGAAAAAUUAGGUUUGCCUUCAAUAAAUGGAUAUUUUGUCAAGUUCAGCUAAUUAUGGACUUCAAGUUUGGACAUGCGAUCUAUCACUACUGGUACUAGAGCUAGCACAAAAUUAAAAAGAUGUAAUUUUUUUUUCUCUACUACAAAAGAAAACCCUGACACGAUUUUAAAACAUGUUACCCCUAACAAGAAAAGACCAUUUCUUCUUUUUUUAGAUGAUCUAGAAGACUUUUCUUUCCACUUUAUUGUUCUUACUUCGUUUGUAAAAGGGAAAAAGAAAAACCCUAAUUUACUUCUGAGAGCUUCCUCAGACAUUAUUUUUGUCCAAGCUGGUCUAUUUACG
RNAcentral lists this unclassified non-coding RNA (2748 nucleotides) under Hevea brasiliensis (rubber tree). Lineage: Eukaryota; Viridiplantae; Streptophyta; Magnoliopsida; Malpighiales; Euphorbiaceae. The record is from RNAcentral.